GACGAACGCUGGCGGCAUGCCUAACACAUGCAAGUCGAACGAGACCUUCGGGUCUAGUGGCGCACGGGUGCGUAACGCGUGGGAACCUGCCCUUAGGUUCGGAAUAACUCCCCGAAAGGGGUGCUAAUACCGGAUAAUGUCUUCGGACCAAAGAUUUAUCGCCUUUGGAUGGGCCCGCGUUGGAUUAGCUAGUUGGUAGGGUAAAAGCCUACCAAGGCGACGAUCCAUAGCUGGUCUGAGAGGAUGAUCAGCCACACUGGGACUGAGACACGGCCCAGACUCCUACGGGAGGCAGCAGUGGGGAAUAUUGGACAAUGGGCGAAAGCCUGAUUCAGCAAUGCCGCGUGAGUGAUGAAGGCCUUAGGGUUGUAAAGCUCUUUUACCCGGGAUGAUAAUGACAGUACCGGGAGAAUAAGCUCCGGCUAACUCCGUG
This 433-nucleotide ribosomal RNA is filed under the name uncultured bacterium. RNAcentral's name for it is "partial 16S ribosomal RNA". It matches the Rfam family "Bacterial small subunit ribosomal RNA", at positions 28 to 507 of the family's 1533-position model. The record is from RNAcentral.